RNAcentral lists this transfer RNA (71 nucleotides) under Drino sp. PH-2020. RNAcentral's name for it is "tRNA-Lys". The record is from RNAcentral. Lineage: Eukaryota; Metazoa; Arthropoda; Insecta; Diptera; Tachinidae.
CAUUAGGUGACUGAAAGCAAGUCAUGGAAUUUUAAACCAUUUUAUAGUAAAUUGGCACUUACUUCUAAUGA